RNAcentral lists this ribosomal RNA (491 nucleotides) under uncultured bacterium. RNAcentral's name for it is "bacterial SSU rRNA". It matches the Rfam family "Bacterial small subunit ribosomal RNA", at positions 16 to 507 of the family's 1533-position model. The record is from RNAcentral.
AUCCUGGCUCAGGAUGAACGCUGGCGGCGUGCUUAACACAUGCAAGUCGAACGAAGCACUUUUGGCGGAUUCUUCGGAUGAUGGAUUUAGUGACUGAGUGGCGGACGGGUGAGUAACGCGUGGGUAACCUGCCUCAUACAGGGGGAUAACAGUUAGAAAUGACUGCUAAUACCGCAUAAGCGCACAGUACCGCAUGGUACAGUGUGAAAAACUCCGGUGGUAUGAGAUGGACCCGCGUCUGAUUAGCUAGUUGGUGAGGUAACGGCCCACCAAGGCGACGAUCAGUAGCCGACCUGAGAGGGUGACCGGCCACAUUGGGACUGAGACACGGCCCAAACUCCUACGGGAGGCAGCAGUGGGGAAUAUUGCACAAUGGGGGAAACCCUGAUGCAGCGACGCCGCGUGAGUGAAGAAGUAUUUCGGUAUGUAAAGCUCUAUCAGCAGGGAAGAAAAUGACGGUACCUGACUAAGAAGCCCCGGCUAACUACGUG